GGCAAGCACACAGGCAACAGGAUUGAAGGUCCUCCUUCUUGAGACUCCUGCCGCAACAGCGGACAAGAAAGCGGAGGGUUUCCCAGCGCAGCUCGAGGCAGUGAUUGUCGAGAUGUCAGUCUCGAUCAGCUGACGUGGCAUGUCCACGUGGUCAUGAGUCAUGUCCCAUGUAAAAAGAGUCGGAACACAAUGAACGAGCUCAUGAGUGUUAUGUC
Long non-coding RNA from Selaginella moellendorffii, 215 nucleotides. RefSeq lists it as uncharacterized. Lineage: Eukaryota; Viridiplantae; Streptophyta; Lycopodiopsida; Selaginellales; Selaginellaceae. The transcript is spliced from 2 exons. The record is from RefSeq and is a predicted model, not a curated record.